AGUCAAUAGAUACCCUGGUAGUCCACACCGUAAACGAUGAGUACUAGGUGUAGGAGGUAUCGACUCCUUCUGUGCCGCAGUUAACACAAUAAGUACUCCGCCUGGGAAGUACGGUCGCAAGAUUAAAACUCAAAGGAAUUGACGGGGGCCCGCACAAGCAGCGGAGCAUGUGGUUUAAUUCGAAGCAACGCGAAGAACCUUACCUAGACUUGACAUCUCCUGAAUAGUGUAGAGAUACAUGAAGCCCUUCGGGGCAGGAAGACAGGUGGUGCAUGGUGUCGUCAGCUCGUGUCGUGAGAU
Molecule: ribosomal RNA, 300 nt
Filed under: uncultured bacterium
Lineage: Bacteria
Description: bacterial SSU rRNA
Rfam family: Bacterial small subunit ribosomal RNA
Source: RNAcentral